UAUGGCCACAUCAUGCUGAACCAUUGGUUCCUGUACAAUCACUGAAAUGAAGCAAUACUGAGCCUGGUUAGUACCUAGAUGGGUGACUGCUUGGGAAUACCACAUGCAGCAAG
Molecule: non-coding RNA, 113 nt
Organism: Acanthosepion pharaonis
Lineage: Eukaryota; Metazoa; Mollusca; Cephalopoda; Sepiida; Sepiidae
Source: the annotation of a GenBank genome assembly